Molecule: ribosomal RNA, 492 nt
Filed under: uncultured bacterium
Lineage: Bacteria
Description: partial 16S ribosomal RNA
Rfam family: Bacterial small subunit ribosomal RNA
Source: RNAcentral
AGUGAACGCUGGCGGUAGGCCUAACACAUGCAAGUCGAACGGCAGCACAGUAAGAGCUUGCUCUUACGGGUGGCGAGUGGCGGACGGGUGAGGAAUACAUCGGAAUCUACUUUUUCGUGGGGGAUAACGUAGGGAAACUUACGCUCAUACCGCAUACGACCUACGGGUGAAAGCAGGGGAUCUUCGUACCUUGCGCGAUUGAAUGAGCCGAUGUCGGAUUAGCUAGUUGGCGGGGUAAAGGCCCACCAAGGCGACGAUCCGUAGCUGGUCUGAGAGGAUGAUCAGCCACACUGGAACGGAGACACGGUCCAGACUCCUACGGGAGGGAACAGUGGGGAAUAUUGGACAAUGGGCGCAAGCCUGAUCCAGCCAUACCGCGUGGGUGGAGAAGGCCUUCGGGUUGUAAAGCCCUUUUGUUGUGAAAGAAAAGCAGCAGGUUAAUACCCCGCUGUUCUGACGGUACCCAAAGAAUAAGCACCGGCUAACUUCGUG